Molecule: long non-coding RNA, 1739 nt
Organism: Oncorhynchus tshawytscha (Chinook salmon)
Lineage: Eukaryota; Metazoa; Chordata; Actinopteri; Salmoniformes; Salmonidae
Exons: 3
Source: RefSeq, a predicted model, not a curated record
UGCACAUAUCAAGUAUCAAUCAACAAGGCUUAGAUACUCUGCCUGUCUAUCAGAUAGACUAGAGAGUUGGGUCAUAUUCAGUAGGCACAAAAUGUAAGAAAGUACCUCCCUGGAAAGAACAGCUAUAUGAACAAGUAACUCCUUUUCUGUUGCAAAAACAUUUUGCUAUGGUGUGCCCUGAUGGUGGAGCAGGAGCAGUAAAUCAAUGUGAUUUAUGAGAUGCAUGGAUCUGGUGAGGCUACUGGGGUACAAGAUUGGGAGCGUGCUAUGGAAUUCUGCUGCAGACAGUUGCGUGUGGCCAGGUCUCUGUGGACAAAGUGCUGGGAGGCCAGGUAGACCAUGCCUGCAGCAAUCUGCUGGGCGAUGUGCAGCAUCUGGGACUGGGUCAGCUCCACCAUCAGGCUGUGCUGCCCAUCAGCCAUCAGCACCAUGUCAGGACCAUGGGACCUGCACCACAACACAGGAAGAAUGGACACAGGUAGACAUCGGGACACAGGACGGUACCUGAGGAACUUGUUGAGGUCGCCGUGCUUCAUGUACUCGAACACCAUGAUGAGCGGGUCGCUGUCCACACACACGCCGUAGAAGGUGACGAUGUGCUCGUGCUGCAGGUUGGUCAGCAGCUCCGCCUCCCGGUGGAAGUCAGCACGGCCGCUCUCACUGGCCUCUUUCAACGUCUGAGGAGGACAGGGAUGUGCGUGCAUGGGUACGCAUGCACACAUAAUUAUCAUAAUUGAUUGCUGGGAUUGUUGAUUUUUUUUCAGUCUCCUUCCUACAAAGUUCAAUUAAAUCCAAAGAGAUAUUAGUUUGUGGUACUAUUAUCCAAAACAAUGCACAAUGAAAAGCACAAACUGCAAUUUUUUAUAUCAAAGCCAGGACAAAAGACCCAUUGUUUCAUUAUUUGACUUUUGUAAAGUGUAUGUUGAUAGUUUGAAAUAACUGCGUGGAGAGGUGUACUUUACCUUGACAGCCACCAGGAUCUUGUCCUGAUCUGGAGUCAGGUUGUAGCACUCAGCCAGAAACACCUUCCCAAAUGCCCCCUCUCCCAGCUCACGCUUCAACACAAUGUUGUGUCUCUUGAUGUGCUGGACAACUGAGAUGUAAAGAGAGACACAGUUAGGCUAUGAAAAAAAUGAUGUUUUGUCAAAUACACUGGAUAGGUGCAGUGAAAUGUUUUGUUUUACAGGGUAAGCCAUAGUAUUUUCGGCGCCCCUGGAGCAAAGAAGGGUUAAGUGCCUUGCUCAAGAGCACAUUGAAAUAUUUUUCUUCUUGUCGGCUCAGUUACUGGCCCAAUGCUCUAGGCUAUCGGCCACCCAAGGCUCAUAAAAGGCCUAUUAAGAAGGGUGAACUGACCAGGAAAACCUCCUGGCCCUAGUUAUAAUUAGUCAGGUCAAGAGGUGAAGAAAACCUCCUGGCCCUACUCAUUACAUACACUGAAGCUAUAGCAACAGCCCUAGUCUACUGCUGUAUAGAGGAUAUCCACAGACGAAAAUAGAAUAAUGUACUGUUCGCUUGUCAGACCAGUUUGGUAGCCAUUAUGGUAGGCGUUAUGGUAGCCAUUAACAGAACUACAUUUCUCACAGGGCAACAAGUGCAAAAGUCAGAUGUGUUUGUCUGGGUUUACCAAAGCUAUCUAUGGCCAGAAUGUAUGUCCAGUGAUAGCAGGGGAGGCUCAUAAUAAUGGCUGUAAUGGAGUCAAUGGAAUGGUAUCACAUGUGGUUGAUGCCAUUCCAUUGACU